This 424-nucleotide ribosomal RNA is filed under the name uncultured bacterium. Its description in RNAcentral is "bacterial SSU rRNA". It matches the Rfam family "Bacterial small subunit ribosomal RNA", at positions 355 to 775 of the family's 1533-position model. The record is from RNAcentral.
UGAGGAAUAUUGGUCAAUGGGCGCAAGCCUGAACCAGCCAUCCCGCGUGCAGGAAGACGGCCCUAUGGGUUGUAAACUGCUUUUCCAGGGGGAGAAACUUGCACACGUGUUGCGCAAUUGACGGUACCCUGGGAAUAAGCAUCGGCUAACUCCGUGCCAGCAGCCGCGGUAAUACGGAGGAUGCGAGCGUUAUCCGGAUUCAUUGGGUUUAAAGGGUGCGUAGGCGGACUAUUAAGUCAGUGGUGAAAUCCUGCAGCUUAACUGCAGAACUGCCAUUGAUACUGAUGGCCUUGAGUUUGGUUAAGGUAGGCGGAAUGUGUAAUGUAGCGGUGAAAGGCUUAGAUAUUACACAGAACACCAAUUGCGUAGGCAGCUUACUGAGCCGACACUGACGCUGAGGCACGAAAGCGUGGGGAUCGAACAG